GGAGGGAGGGAGGCUCGAUCGUCGUCGUCUUCGGAAGCGAGAAGGUGGUGAGGUAGGUAGGUAAGGUCGUCCUCGUGCUCGAGAGAGGGGUGAAGAGGGGCAGGCAGGCAGCGACGACGGAAAAGGGAGGGGGAGGAGACGCGAGGAUCCAAUCCUCAUCCCCGAAAAGUUUCCUCUCUCGUUUUCUCUUUCAGGAACGUAUGGGGUUGUUCCGUUGGGCGACGACGGAAAAAGAGGGAGGGGAGGGGAGGGGAGGGGGGAAGAGAGAGAGGUGGGAGAGACGAAAGAACAAUAGAAGUCGGGUCGGUUGCUCUCGUCUCGUCUCGUCUGGUCUCUCUCCGAUCUCCACCUGGCUUUGUAGCCUGUGGUUCGUCCCUCCUUCCUUUCUGCCGCCCGUACACCCUAGAGUUACUGAGCGGCCGGCGGCUCCGCGGCGGCGACAGGGGGAGGCAGCUGCUGAGGCCGCGGAGGAGGAGCAGGCGGCGGCGCCAGCAGCUCUAUGGGCUGCUGCGGCUGCUGCUGAGGCGGCUCCGGCAGCAGUGCGCGGUCAAGAAGGGGGGCCGGCGGGGCCCGCUCCGGCGGCGGCCCUUGCCGGCGCGGCGCACCGAGGCGGACCGGCCGCGGGGGCGCGGGCGGCACCGGCGUCGUCGGCGGCCUCGUCCUCGUCGUCCUCCGGGGCGCCGACGCCGCCGCCGGUUCUUCUCGGCCGCGCCCGGCGCCAGCGCGUCGAGCGUCAUGGCGCCGCAGUGGAAGAUGGCGGCCUGCCCCGCCACCCUCAGCGUGUAUACCCUAACGCCGUUCGUCCAGAUAGACCCUCCUAAGCUGUGACGAGUACGCCGCCGAGCCCGCAUGCUAGCCCGCCGCUAGUUCAAGGCGCCGUACCUCCGGCUGUAGUUGAAGUCGGACCUCCUAAUGCUGCUGUAGUUCGUCUACCCGUUGGACUGGUUCCUCCUCAAGCAGGUGCACGAGGCCGCCGUCUCGUGCCCCAAGGGGGCCCCCUCGAGGUUCAUGUCCCCGCAGUGCGAGGUGUUCACGCCGUCCACCCUCCGCGCCUACCCGGUCAAGGAGCCGUUCUUCAUGCAGAUGAACCCCGACAAGCUAUGGCUCCUCCUUCGGCGGUCCAGCAUGCUGGCGCGACGGUAGUUCACGUUGCCGUUCCUACGCCACUGUUUGAAGCUAGGGUCGUGGAUGCGGCUCCUCAAGCUCGGUCGCCGGAGCUGCCCGCUGCGCCUCGUCUUGGACCUGGACAGCGACCCCUCGAGCCCCCCCAGGUUGUUCUCCCCGUCGGAGCUGCCGCCGCCGCCGCUGCUGCUCCCGCGCCGCCCCAGGCUGGUCGCGCACGGGUACCGGAAGCUCGAGCUGACCGUCUGCCGCGCCUCGUGGUUCCGGUUCAAGCUGGUCUUGAGCUGCGUAGCGGUCUACGGGGGAGGGCGGGACGUUCGGAGGGUGUACCGGAAGUCGGGGUCCGUCGUGGUUAAGUACCCGUCGCGGCUAGGCCCCUGGCGCCCCCCGGACAGCGACUGCCAGCCGCGGCCGCGGCCGCCCAACCGGCCCGUGACCGGAGGCGUGGUGGUUAUGGUCGGCGGCGGCGGAGGCGUCGUCGUCGUCUCCUACGUGCCGACCCCGUUGCAGCACGGGCCGUCCUCGACCGUCGGCGGAGUCGGCGGCGGCGUGGUGGUCCGCCCAGGCGGCGGCUUGUUGCGACGGCGGCGGCGUCGUCGUCGACGUCGUAGUAGUGCUAAGGGUGGGAUGUAGCGGCGCGUCCGCGUCUCGACCGAGGUCUUCUUGCCGAAGGUGAGGGACCGGUCUGGGUGGAUUCGAACGGUCGAGGUGGUGGCGCGUGGCGCAAGUAGGUGGUAGGUACCGCUUCUAGCCAGGUGGCUUGGUCCGCUCUAGUGCCUCCUCGUACCCGCAAAGGAGUCUCGGGUGUUGGUAAUGGUGGUGUUGAGUUGACCUUGACUUUGGCUUUGGCUUUGACCUACGAUCAUAAGAAUAAGAAAAAGGUAAAGAACAAUAAAAAUGAACUAACUCGCUCGCUCUACCUAAACUCUCCUGCCUACCUACACCAGUACAUUUACGCCUCAAGGGGUUCUUCUGCUAGCUCUCUCUAACCGAGAUCGAGGAUCGAGAUCGAGAUCGAUCGAAAGUUGGGUUCACAGCUCGUACACACACACACACACACACACACACACCACCUCAUAGAAAACCACGAAAAGCAACGUAUGGUACCGGUUGUCGCUACUGAGCCCCCACAGGUGUAGUGUAGAGUAAAACAAACCAGAGUACAACGUAGUGAGUGAAGUAGUACUCUAACCAAGGCCUUAAAACGAGGCGCGUGGGUGGCGGGGGCCGCCACCGGCUGUUGCGUGAUCGAAUCG
This 2378-nucleotide ribosomal RNA is filed under the name Triticum aestivum (bread wheat). RNAcentral describes it as "partial small subunit ribosomal RNA". Lineage: Eukaryota; Viridiplantae; Streptophyta; Magnoliopsida; Poales; Poaceae. The record is from RNAcentral.